RNAcentral lists this ribosomal RNA (501 nucleotides) under uncultured bacterium. Its description in RNAcentral is "partial 16S ribosomal RNA". It matches the Rfam family "Bacterial small subunit ribosomal RNA", at positions 29 to 523 of the family's 1533-position model. The record is from RNAcentral.
AUUGAACGCUGGCGGCAUGCCUUACACAUGCAAGUCGAACGGCAGCACGGGUGCUUGCACCUGGUGGCGAGUGGCGAACGGGUGAGUAAUACAUCGGAACGUACCUUAUCGUGGGGGAUAACGCAGCGAAAGCUGUGCUAAUACCGCAUACGCCCUGAGGGGGAAAGCGGGGGAUCGAAAGACCUCGCGCGAUUUGAGCGGCCGAUGCCUGAUUAGCUUGUUGGUGGGGUAAAAGCCCACCAAGGCGACGAUCAGUAGCUGGUCUGAGAGGACGAACAGCCAAACUGGGAAUGAGACACGGCGCAGACUCCGACGGGAGGCAGCAGUGGGGAAUUUUGGACAAUGGGGGCAACCCUGAUCCAGCAAUGCCGCGUGAGUGAAGAAGGCCUUCGGGUUGUAAAGCUCUUUUGUCAGGGAAGAAACACCGGCUCUAACACAGUCCGGGAAUGACGGUACCUGAAGAAUAAGCACCGGCUAACUACGUGCCAGCCGCCGCAGUAA